AGUCGUAACAAGGUUUCCGUAGGUGAACCUGCGGAAGGAUCAUUACAGUAUUCUUUUUGCCAGCGCUUAAUUGCGCGGCGAAAAAACCUUACACACAGUGUUUUUUGUUAUUACAAGAACUUUUGCUUUGGUCUGGACUAGAAAUAGUUUGGGCCAGAGGUUUACUGAACUAAACUUCAAUAUUUAUAUUGAAUUGUUAUUUAUUUAAUUGUCAAUUUGUUGAUUAAAUUCAAAAAAUCUUCAAAACUUUCAACAACGGAUCUCUUGGUUCUCGCAUCGAUGAAGAACGCAGCGAAAUGCGAUAAGUAAUAUGAAUUGCAGAUUUUCGUGAAUCAUCGAAUCUUUGAACGCACAUUGCGCCCUCUGGUAUUCCAGAGGGCAUGCCUGUUUGAGCGUCAUUUCUCUCUCAAACCUUCGGGUUUGGUAUUGAGUGAUACUCUUAGUCGAACUAGGCGUUUGCUUGAAAUGUAUUGGCAUGAGUGGUACUGGAUAGUGCUAUAUGACUUUCAAUGUAUUAGGUUUAUCCAACUCGUUGAAUAGUUUAAUGGUAUAUUUCUCGGUAUUCUAGGCUCGGCCUUACAAUAUAACAAACAAGUUUGACCUCAAAUCAGGUAGGAUUACCCGCUGAACUUAAGCAUAUCUAAAAGUCG
This 650-nucleotide ribosomal RNA is filed under the name uncultured fungus. RNAcentral describes it as "eukaryotic LSU rRNA". The stretch from base 245 to 398 matches the Rfam family "5.8S ribosomal RNA". Lineage: Eukaryota; Fungi. The record is from RNAcentral.